UUAUAUUGCUGUCACAUGGUUUUAUGCUAAUCUUUUAGAUUAAAUGGUAAAUAUAGAAGUCUUUAUUCAAUUAACAAAGAAGUAGUCAUUAAGGGAUGGUGAUUGAAAUAAAAUGGUGAGAAAUAUUAUCCUCUUAAAUAAGAAAUUACUGCAUGAGUGGACAAAAGCAGUACAGCAAGGGAUGGAAUAAAACUGGAAAAGAGCAAAAGCAAAUGAGACAUGCCUCAGAUCUCUGUUUAGAAGGAACUUUUGAUAAGAAACUGGUCAGCCGUUCUGAGAGUGGUGGAAAGCCUGUCAAGGUCACUACCAAGGACAAGAGAGUCAAUUAGUAUGCAGAUCAGAGCCAAGGAGUUCAAAGGAACUGUCCUGAUGUGAAAGAGCAUGCUUUGACUCCUUGGGGCAUGUGGUGAUUUCUGCUAAGGGAAUACCUGCGUUUGAGCAACUGAUCUGAGAGCACAGACCCUCCAAGGGUAAUUUUGCACUUCUCGACCACUGCCACUUGCUGAAAGCUCUGGAAUAGGGGUUGUUGGUCACCUGGGAAGUUACAGCAUAGUGGGACUGCUGCACAACAGCAACACAGGCCCUAUCCACAGACGUAAAAAAAAGCACUGGGAAAGAGAUGUUUGAGACUGGAAAUGCCCCUGACUGUUGAAACAGAACUCUGAGAAGGUUGAUGGUGAUGGUGAUAAAAACACAGUCAAGGUCUUCGGCUCCAGGUCCCCUCCCUACCAUGACAGCUGGGAUUCUCUGAGGAAACAUGAUGGGUCAGGAGGAGGAGGGGAGGCGAGGACAGCCAUCUCCAAAAUGCGGUGGAUGUGCCUUGCCGGCUCUGCACUGGUUGCACUCAGGCAAGCUGACGGGAAUCGGCGGUGGCAGCCAUGCGAAUGAGGGCUGCUGUGAAGUUACAGUUGCAAUAUAAAGAUGACAAGAAGUUCAAGACAAGAUAAAGGACCCCAGUGAGAUUGGACACUGAGAGGUACACCAGACUUCCUCCUUUUGCUUGGCACUUCUCUUUUUAUUCUUUGAUUAAAGUCUUUUUCCUUUACUUACAUCCUCCA
Molecule: non-coding RNA, 1058 nt
Organism: Zonotrichia albicollis (white-throated sparrow)
Lineage: Eukaryota; Metazoa; Chordata; Aves; Passeriformes; Passerellidae
Source: RefSeq, a predicted model, not a curated record